This 67-nucleotide transfer RNA is filed under the name Marmota monax (woodchuck). Its description in RNAcentral is "tRNA.Ala". Lineage: Eukaryota; Metazoa; Chordata; Mammalia; Rodentia; Sciuridae. The record is from RNAcentral.
GGUUAUAACUCAGUGGUAGAGUGCUUGCCUAGCAUGUGUGAAGCACUGGGUUCAAUCCUCAGCACCA